RNAcentral lists this ribosomal RNA (774 nucleotides) under uncultured Neocallimastigales. Its description in RNAcentral is "partial large subunit ribosomal RNA". It matches the Rfam family "Eukaryotic large subunit ribosomal RNA", at positions 26 to 627 of the family's 3401-position model. Lineage: Eukaryota; Fungi; Neocallimastigomycota; Neocallimastigomycetes; Neocallimastigales. The record is from RNAcentral.
CGUCUAUAUACGUAUAGCAUAUCAAUAAGCGGAGGAAAAGAAACUAACUAGGAUUCCCUCAGUAACGGCGAGUGGAGCGGGAAGAGCUCAAAUUUGAAAUCUUCAAGGUUUACCUUGACGAAUUGUAGUUUAAAGAAGUGUUUUCUGUUGGAGUUUUGGUAAAAGUUCUUUGGAAAUAGGACAUCAUAGAGGGUGAGAAUCCCGUAUUUGACCAUUAUUUCCAACUUUGUGAUACACUUUCAAAGAGUCGGAUUGUUUGGGAAUGCAGUCCAAAAUGGGUGGUAAAUUUCAUCUAAAGCUAAAUACUGGCGAGAGACCGAUAGCGAACAAGUACCGUGAGGGAAAGAUGAAAAGAACUUUGAAAAGAGAGUUAAACAGUACGUGAAAUUGUCAAAAGGGAAGCGUUUGACACCAGUGUUGUUUUCUCGAAAAUCAAUUAAAAAUGGCGGGAUUUUGUGUUGUAUUGACUUUAUCAGCUUUCUGCACUUUUUUCUUGUCUUUUUUAAUGCACUUUUCGUUUAACAAGUCAACAUCAAUUUCUUUUGUUGUAAAAGGGUCAUUGGAAGGUGGCUUUCUUUUCGGAGAAAGUGUUUAUAGCCUUUGACUUCUGCAAUCGGAGAGAUUGAGGUCUGCAGCGUAGAUCCUUCGGGGUUAGAUGCAUUUGUGCUAAGUUAUAGCCUUUCAUAGACAACUUGUUGACUAUGAUCAGUCAUGUAGCUUACUCGCUUAUGUUAUUUUACCUACGCUUAGGAUGUUGACGAUCAGCUGAGCGCG